This 92-nucleotide small RNA is filed under the name Rhizobium sp. Root149. RNAcentral's name for it is "Rhizobiales sRNA Atu_Ti1". It matches the Rfam family "Rhizobiales sRNA Atu_Ti1". The record is from Rfam by way of RNAcentral. Lineage: Bacteria; Pseudomonadati; Pseudomonadota; Alphaproteobacteria; Hyphomicrobiales; Rhizobiaceae.
GUCCAGAAUGCGGCGGACCAGAGCCACACGCUCAGCAUGACCAGGACUGCUGCCGGCCAGAAGCGCGAUGUCAUCGUCGCCAGGCCGGCAGC